Molecule: ribosomal RNA, 548 nt
Filed under: Phycodrys radicosa
Lineage: Eukaryota; Rhodophyta; Florideophyceae; Ceramiales; Delesseriaceae
Description: eukaryotic LSU rRNA
Rfam family: Eukaryotic large subunit ribosomal RNA
Source: RNAcentral
GGAUGGCGCUGAAGCGGGCAGCCGACACCACGUCGUCUGACCAAAGUGGAUAUCAGAUGAGUAGGAGGACGUGGCGGUCGUAUCGAAGCGUACGUGCGAACGUGCGUGGAACGGCCGCUAGUGCAGAUCUUGGUGGUAGUAGCAAAUAUUCAAACGUGAACCUUGAAGGGCGAAGCGGGGAAGGGUUCCACGCGAACAUUGAUUGAGCGUGGGUAAGUCGUUCCUAAGCCGAGUGGCAAUAGCUAAUUAUCGAGCGAAAGGGAAGUAGGUUGAUAUUCCUACACACGGAUGUGGAUGCGGUGACGCACUACUGAGGCGAUGACGUCGGCGAUGGCGCUAGGCAGAGUUUUCUUUUCUGUUUAACCGAACCUAGCACGCUGUGUGGAAUCCGCUUGUCGGGAGAAACACGCGUGUUUGGGCAGAGCGCUGGGAUUUUUCCAGCGUCUAGCUCGCCAUCGACGGCCCUUGAAAAAUCGUNCUGCUGGCCAAACCAUUUUUUGUGUUUGGUGUGAAAANUUCCACGCCGUAACGUACCGAUAACCGCAUCA